Long non-coding RNA from Fundulus heteroclitus (mummichog), 550 nucleotides. RefSeq lists it as uncharacterized. The transcript has 3 exons. The record is from RefSeq and is a predicted model, not a curated record. NCBI's taxonomy places the organism in Eukaryota, Metazoa, Chordata, Actinopteri, Cyprinodontiformes, Fundulidae.
GAGAGGACGCCAGAGUGUUUUCGUUGCGGUUACCUUCUCGAGCUCCAAGAUCCCCUUUGUGACUCUCCAGUUCCUCCGACCUCCUUCCGAGUCGAAACCGCUCCUCUGGAUCUAAGGCUCAUUCCAACGUCCUCCGGUUCCUCUCGCUGUUCUGGAUCUCGGUACCCACGGUGCUGCUCGGACCUCCUCGCCCCGCUCACCGGCGACCCGGACAUCUGCCAUCAACAUCUAAGCUGAGUCCACACACACACCAACCUCCCCGGCCGUGUUCUCUCGCACCUCGUGAUCGAUCCGGUUCCCUGGUCCCGAGCCCGUCCGAGCCGUCUCCUCGUUCCGCAGAUAGUUCUGCCGUCUCUGAGCCGUCUCCUCGUUCCGCAGAUUAGUUCUGCCGUCUGUACCCACCUGAGUCAAUAAAACUCUUAACAUCUACCUGUGUAACCGAGUGUGUUUCUGCAUGUGGGCCCGACACCUUAAGGCUAACAUGACAGUUUGUACACAUUUAACUAUUCAAUUCAAAUUACUAAAGUUACAAACAUAAGCCUAUAUCAAG